This 85-nucleotide transfer RNA is filed under the name Felis catus (domestic cat). It matches the Rfam family "tRNA". From Rfam's summary of the family: Transfer RNA (tRNA) molecules are approximately 80 nucleotides in length. Their secondary structure includes four short double-helical elements and three loops (D, anti-codon, and T loops). Further hydrogen bonds mediate the characteristic L-shaped molecular structure. tRNAs have two regions of fundamental functional importance: the anti-codon, which is responsible for specific mRNA codon recognition, and the 3' end, to which the tRNAs corresponding amino acid is attached (by aminoacyl-tRNA synthetases). tRNAs cope with the degeneracy of the genetic code in two manners: having more than one tRNA (with a specific anti-codon) for a particular amino acid; and 'wobble' base-pairing, i.e. permitting non-standard base-pairing at the 3rd anti-codon position. Lineage: Eukaryota; Metazoa; Chordata; Mammalia; Carnivora; Felidae. The record is from Rfam by way of RNAcentral. RNAcentral also lists the same sequence under 4 other names.
GCCUGGGUGGCUCAGUCGGUUAAGCAUCUGACUUCAGUUCAGGUCAUGAUCUCACUGUAUGUGAGUUCAAGGCCCACAUCAGGCU